CGAGGAAGCAAACAUAAUUAGGGGUAUUGGUACGUCUAUUUGCAGGCUCUAACAUGUCUGGAUUGUACUGUAUAUUAGAAGUACGCCCACACCACAAGGUGAAAAGGCACAGGCUUGUUUACCCACACAGUGACUUCAGGGUUGAUUGCAAGGCAAAACUCUGGUUCUGUUUGUUCCAUGCCAACCACUGUUUUUUUUCCGACAAGGACAGAGUGGAACCCAAAUUAUAAGAAUUGGAACCCCAUGCUAUACGAAUACCUUUGUAACAAGGGGAUCUUUACUAACUAAGGAAAAUAAUCUAACAUGGCAAAGAGAAGACCAUGUGUCUCUGUGGCUUUGACUGACCCCCAGUGCUUUACUCUGAGGCUCUUUAGGGUUUUCAGCUACAUUCCAUGACAAACAUCUAAAACAGCCAUAGCCCUCCUCCUUCCCCAGGUCAGAACUGCAGCACCCCAGGUCAUCCUUGACAAACAGGAUUGCUGUUCACCUCAAAGACACCCCCCCCUACCCAUGGGAACCAAGAAUCAGCUGCAUUCACUGAAAGAAGUGCCUCCCCCUAGAGAACAUGCAAAAGAUUUAGUAAAAACCACAAUGAAUACAAAGCACACUGUGCCUAUAGGCAAAGGCAGAAACACAAAGACAUGUUUGUAAAAUACAGUCAUACUUUGUUAUGCAUGAUAAUUAAAAACAACCAUUCGAUA
Acipenser ruthenus (sterlet) is the source of this 701-nucleotide long non-coding RNA. RefSeq lists it as uncharacterized. NCBI's taxonomy places the organism in Eukaryota, Metazoa, Chordata, Actinopteri, Acipenseriformes, Acipenseridae. The record is from RefSeq and is a predicted model, not a curated record. The transcript has 2 exons.